Molecule: ribosomal RNA, 1190 nt
Filed under: uncultured bacterium
Lineage: Bacteria
Description: bacterial SSU rRNA
Rfam family: Bacterial small subunit ribosomal RNA
Source: RNAcentral
UGUUUGAACCGCAUGGUUCAGACAUAAAAGGUGGCUUCGGCUACCACUUACAGAUGGACCCGCGGCGCAUUAGCUAGUUGGUGAGGUAACGGCUCACCAAGGCGACGAUGCGUAGCCGACCUGAGAGGGUGAUCGGCCACACUGGGACUGAGACACGGCCCAGACUCCUACGGGAGGCAGCAGUAGGGAAUCUUCCGCAAUGGACGAAAGUCUGACGGAGCAACGCCGCGUGAGUGAUGAAGGUUUUCGGAUCGUAAAGCUCUGUUGUUAGGGAAGAACAAGUGCCGUUCAAAUAGGGCGGCACCUUGACGGUACCUAACCAGAAAGCCACGGCUAACUACGUGCCAGCAGCCGCGGUAAUACGUAGGUGGCAAGCGUUGUCCGGAAUUAUUGGGCGUAAAGGGCUCGCAGGCGGUUUCUUAAGUCUGAUGUGAAAGCCCCCGGCUCAACCGGGGAGGGUCAUUGGAAACUGGGGAACUUGAGUGCAGAAGAGGAGAGUGGAAUUCCACGUGUAGCGGUGAAAUGCGUAGAGAUGUGGAGGAACACCAGUGGCGAAGGCGACUCUCUGGUCUGUAACUGACGCUGAGGAGCGAAAGCGUGGGGAGCGAACAGGAUUAGAUACCCUGGUAGUCCACGCCGUAAACGAUGAGUGCUAAGUGUUAGGGGGUUUCCGCCCCUUAGUGCUGCAGCUAACGCAUUAAGCACUCCGCCUGGGGAGUACGGUCGCAAGACUGAAACUCAAAGGAAUUGACGGGGGCCCGCACAAGCGGUGGAGCAUGUGGUUUAAUUCGAAGCAACGCGAAGAACCUUACCAGGUCUUGACAUCCUCUGACAAUCCUAGAGAUAGGACGUCCCCUUCGGGGGCAGAGUGACAGGUGGUGCAUGGUUGUCGUCAGCUCGUGUCGUGAGAUGUUGGGUUAAGUCCCGCAACGAGCGCAACCCUUGAUCUUAGUUGCCAGCAUUCAGUUGGGCACUCUAAGGUGACUGCCGGUGACAAACCGGAGGAAGGUGGGGAUGACGUCAAAUCAUCAUGCCCCUUAUGACCUGGGCUACACACGUGCUACAAUGGACAGAACAAAGGGCAGCGAAACCGCGAGGUUAAGCCAAUCCCACAAAUCUGUUCUCAGUUCGGAUCGCAGUCUGCAACUCGACUGCGUGAAGCUGGAAUCGCUAGUAAUCGCGGAUCAGCA